RNAcentral lists this transfer RNA (98 nucleotides) under Candidatus Bathyarchaeota archaeon. RNAcentral's name for it is "tRNA-Ala". It matches the Rfam family "tRNA". Rfam says of the family: Transfer RNA (tRNA) molecules are approximately 80 nucleotides in length. Their secondary structure includes four short double-helical elements and three loops (D, anti-codon, and T loops). Further hydrogen bonds mediate the characteristic L-shaped molecular structure. tRNAs have two regions of fundamental functional importance: the anti-codon, which is responsible for specific mRNA codon recognition, and the 3' end, to which the tRNAs corresponding amino acid is attached (by aminoacyl-tRNA synthetases). tRNAs cope with the degeneracy of the genetic code in two manners: having more than one tRNA (with a specific anti-codon) for a particular amino acid; and 'wobble' base-pairing, i.e. permitting non-standard base-pairing at the 3rd anti-codon position. Lineage: Archaea; Thermoproteati; Candidatus Bathyarchaeota. The record is from RNAcentral.
GGGCCGGUAGUUCAGUUCGGUAUACUCAACAAUAGAGACCGACGAAUGCCCGCUUGGCAUGUGGGAGGUCGCGGGUUCAAAUCCCGCCCGGUCCACCA